Molecule: ribosomal RNA, 374 nt
Filed under: Hoplocorypha sp. MN139
Lineage: Eukaryota; Metazoa; Arthropoda; Insecta; Mantodea; Thespidae
Description: partial 12S ribosomal RNA
Source: RNAcentral
AUACCCUAUUAUUUUUAUNGUAAAGAGGAGUAAAAUCAAAGUAUUAGUAGUUAUGAUCUUGAAACUUAAAGAAUUUGGCGGUAUUAUAGUCUAUUUAGAGGAAUCUGUUACGUGAUCGAUAAUCCGCGUUGAACCUUACUUACAUUAUUAUUUGUAUACCGCUGUUUAUGAUUAUACUUUAAGGUUAAUUUUCUGGAUAUAUAAUUAAUUAGUAUUUCAAGUCAAGGUGCAGUGAUAUGUAAGUUGAGUAAUGGAUUACAAUAAAUUGUAUUUAUUAUGGAUUGUAGUUGAAAUAUAACUUGAAGGUGGAUUUAAUUGUAAUUUUAUGAAGAUUGUUAAAAUGAUUUUAGCUCUAUAAUAUGCACACAUCGCCC